GCCUUGGUGGCUUAGUGGUCAAAGCACUCGCAAGGUCGUGGGUUCAAUCCCAGCCGAGGCA
This 61-nucleotide transfer RNA is filed under the name Diaphorina citri (Asian citrus psyllid). It matches the Rfam family "tRNA". Rfam says of the family: Transfer RNA (tRNA) molecules are approximately 80 nucleotides in length. Their secondary structure includes four short double-helical elements and three loops (D, anti-codon, and T loops). Further hydrogen bonds mediate the characteristic L-shaped molecular structure. tRNAs have two regions of fundamental functional importance: the anti-codon, which is responsible for specific mRNA codon recognition, and the 3' end, to which the tRNAs corresponding amino acid is attached (by aminoacyl-tRNA synthetases). tRNAs cope with the degeneracy of the genetic code in two manners: having more than one tRNA (with a specific anti-codon) for a particular amino acid; and 'wobble' base-pairing, i.e. permitting non-standard base-pairing at the 3rd anti-codon position. Lineage: Eukaryota; Metazoa; Arthropoda; Insecta; Hemiptera; Psyllidae. The record is from Rfam by way of RNAcentral.